RNAcentral lists this ribosomal RNA (1716 nucleotides) under Bothus myriaster (Indo-Pacific oval flounder). Its description in RNAcentral is "16S ribosomal RNA". It matches the Rfam family "Bacterial large subunit ribosomal RNA". The record is from RNAcentral. Lineage: Eukaryota; Metazoa; Chordata; Actinopteri; Pleuronectiformes; Bothidae.
UGCUAAACAGCUAGCCCAACCAAUUAAAAGCAACAGCCACAUUUAAUUAACCCCACAUACCCAUAAUAUCUGCCCUAAAACAUUUUCCCUCUCUAGUAUGGGCGACAGAAAGAGACCCAGGAGCUAUAGAGACAGUACCGCAAGGGAAGGCUGAAAGAGAGAUGAAAUAGGACAAUCAAGCAAGGAAAAGCAGAGCUUAAGCCUCGUACCUUUUGCAUCAUGAGUCAACUAGUAUAAGCAAGCGAGGCGCGCCACAGUUUGCCCCCCCGAAACGAAGUGAGCUACUCCAGGACAGCCUUUUUACAAGGGCCAACCCGUCUCUGUGGCAAAAGAGUGGGAAGAUCCUCGAGUAGAAGUGAAACGCUUACCGAACUUCGUUAUAGCUGGUUGCCUGGGAAAUGAAUAUUAGUUCAGCCCCUUAUAUUCUUACACUCCCCAAGGAAAUUACCAGAAUGUAGGACAGCUAAAGACAUAAAGGGAGUUAUUCAAAGGGGGUACAGCCCCUUCGAAUUAAGACACAACUUUCUAAGGUGGUUAAGGAUUAUACACACUUAUAAGGGUAAUACCAUAGUGGGCCUGAAAGCAGCCAUCUAUUAAGAAAGCGUUAUAGCUCAAGCGCAAAAGCAACCCAUACAUGCCAGUAAAACUAUCCAAAACCCCGUCACGGACCAGGCCUUUCCACAGAGUGGAAGGGAAUAUGCUGAUAUGAGUAACAAGAGACCCCACGUCUCUCCCAGCAUAUGUGUAAAUCGGCGCGGACUAGCCACCGAAAAUUAACGGCCCCAAUCAAUGAGGGUAAUGAAUCACAGUAGAUCAUCUGGAAAAUCAAUCAUUACUAUCCCGUUACCCCUACACUGGUAUGCCCGAAGGAGGACUAAAAGAGAAAGAAGGAACUCGGCAAACUAAUUAAGCCUCGCCUGUUUACCAAAAACAUCGCCUCUUGCUAAAACCUAGAAUAAGAGGUCCAGCCUGCCCAGUGACACUAUGUUUAACGGCCGCAGUAUAUUAACUGUGCGAAGGUAGCGCAAUCACUUGUCUUUUAAAUGAAGGCCUGUAUGAAAGGCGUAACGAGGGCUUAACUGUCUCCUUUUUCAGGUCAGUGAAAUUGAUCUCCCCGUGCAGAAGCGGGGAUUAACACGUAAGACGAGAAGACCCAGUGGAGCUUGAGACAACAGGGCAGCCCAUAUCACCAGCCUUUUAAGGAGCUCAAGCUUGCUUGGAUCCUGCCCCAAUGUCUUCGGUUGGGGCGACCAUGGAGGAAACCCAACCCCCAUGUAGACUGGGACCCCCCUGGAAGACAUCUCUACCAAACCUUAGUACUCCUAGAAACUAGAGGCACUGCUCCAAUUAACGGAAUAUUCGACUAACAUUGAUCCGGGACAACCCGAUCAACGAAAUAAGUUACCCCUGGGAUAACAGCGCAAUCCCCUCCCAGAGUCCAUAUCGCCGAGGGGGUUUACGACCUCGAUGUUGGAUCAGGACAUCCUAAUGGUGCAACCGCUAUUAAGGGUUCGUUUGUUCAACGAUUAAUAGUCCUACGUGAUCUGAGUUCAGACCGGAGCAAUCCAGGUCAGCUUCUAUCUACGCUGCACUUUCCUCUAUUACAAAAGGACCGAAAAAAGGGGGCCCAUGUUUUAUAGUAAGCCCAACCCCUAUUAGGUGAAGACAUCUAAACCUUGAAGGGAGUGCAUAAACUUUGUGCUUAAACAUAAGCCG